RNAcentral lists this small RNA (29 nucleotides) under Bombyx mori (domestic silkworm). RNAcentral's name for it is "ovarian small RNA-2246". Lineage: Eukaryota; Metazoa; Arthropoda; Insecta; Lepidoptera; Bombycidae. The record is from RNAcentral.
UGCUAAAGGAAUCUGGUGGAAACCAGUGG